UGUCAGCCUUCCUAGGAAAUGCCAGUGCAUUUUGGUAUGUUUUUCUUCACUUGCAUCUUUGCUUUCUCCUUUGACAAGGAAAGAAAAAACUUCUUUCUCCAAGGCAGGCACUCCUCCUUUCUUCUACAUGUGGGGUAAUGAAUUGGACUGAAGGAUAUAGUUCAGAAGCUAUGCCUGUAACAGUGGUCAAAAGCCUACUAUUAGGAAGUACUUCCAGUAUUAUUUAAGAAAGAUUUUCUUGUUAAUAAUAUAAUGUACACACAUAAAAUAAGAUAGUGGAAUCCAACUUGGGUACUUAAAGAAUCAAUUAACUUCAGUAACUCAUUAUUCAAGAGUUUUUAUAUGAGUUACCAGCUACGUCCCAUCACAAUCAGUAUAACUUUUCUGAGGAUACUUCAGGAUUAUCCAAAGCGAAGUUCUGAAAUUUGACAAAAAUUAAGAGUGCAACUUACACACAUAAAUAGUUAUGAGUUUUCUACUCUCCAACAUACUAUAUGGAAAACAUGUCAGUUAGUCUUAAAUUCUAAUUAAAAGGAGUAAACACUGAUUGCCAGAGAAUGUGCAACUUGUUCAAACAGAUAUUCCCCCAUACGUUCACAGCCACUGAAGAUGAUUAUUCACACAGACAAUUCUAGGAAAUCUAUUUCAGCAUAUUUUAUUAUGGACUAAAACUGAACCCCCACUCUGCAACAAUGGAAAAAUUGUUAACAACAUUGCCUCAAGAGAGGGCUGGGUUUGUGUUUAAGACCCUAAUUAGCUUAUUUUCCAUCACACUAUUUUUUGCUGUUGGCUUCAGUGCUAUCAGUCGUAAUUAAAAACAUGGAGUAUUACGACCCACCUCUACAAAUCAAUUCCUAAAUCAUUGCAAUGCAAGUCAUUGUCCAAGUAUAUAUAUCUUAAAUAUUACAAGUGUUAUCUAGGCUUCACGGGCAAUCAUAAUUCUUCUCUGAUUUUUCUUUCUAAAGCAGCCUUGCCUUUCCAAUCCUGAAAAUAUAAUACUUAAUUGCCUGUGUCAGACUGAGCGUCGCUGCUGCCACUAACUGGAAGUCUAAACCACGCCGUGGUUCUAACAUGUGGAAAAAACCCACUUAAAAACUAUUGCUUACAAUCAAGAGAAUCACAGCCUUCUAACAACCAUGCUGCCUGCUCCUCCACCAGGAAGAGAGACCCCUGUGACAGCAUCUAAGGACAAAGCAGAUGACAUUUUCAUCCUUGCCAAGUAGUGCUGGACCACUGUGUGCUGCCUCCAGGUCGCAGUGGCCCAGAACAGAUGGUUUGUUCCCUUAAUCCAGUGUGGUGGGGACCCAAGUCAACUCUGCAGCAUCCUCCCCCAUGUUCACUGUUCAGACACACAUUUCUGCAAUGUAAGGGCCAGGUCAUGCUACUCUGUGCCUGUAUAAGCAAGUGUGGAUUCUACACAGCUUCUUUAAAAAUUCUAACUUGCUGUGACCUAAAAAAUCUGAAAAACUCUGAAAAUUUCGAUAGAGUUUGAUAGGAUUUUUUAAAAUCAUACUGUUUCAAUACUCCAAUGGCUGGACAAACAGAAGUUAAAGACCUCCAUGCUCCCAGUUCCAUACAACGCUUCUUUGAUUUACAGCCUCAGAAACUGAAAAAGAAAAAGAUCCAAAAGCCUAUUCUUUCAAGAAGAGAGGAAAGGAAAUCAAUACCUAUUCUGCCUCUACAAAUUCAGGUCCUCCAAAGACAGAGGGUCAGUAUAAUGAAGCAACUGACUGAAGUAAAAAUGAGGCUCCAUGUGCCAUUUAUUCCCAAAGAUGAUCCAGUAUGCACACUUCGUAUUUUUCAGCAAGGCUUGUUUGACAUAAUAUGGAGGCUACUGGAGAGUUUAAAGUCCACGUUGCCUUGUACACACAACUUCUUACUGGAUUGUGUUUUAACCUGCCCCCUGCAACUGCCUUUUCCACAUCCUGCUUCCAGGAAAUGAGUGCUCCUGCUGACAAGCUCGUGCCCGCUAAUCUCAGCUAAAAAGACAGGCUGCCACUUCGUACAGAAGCAGCAAAACAAGAUCUGAAAGGUCCUGCCCUCGGGAGGAGCACUCGUUCCUCCCCUUUCCAUACACCAGCCUGGGAAUGGAGCGGAGUAGCCCCAACCCCUGGGAAAGCGCUGACGGUGGCACAGGGCAUGGAGAGCAGCGAUGCAGGAACUCAGGGGCAUGAAACAGGGAGCAGGGAAUGCAAGUCCCUGAGUAAAACCAAGCACUGAGGUCUCUCAUUCCCCUCCAGAUGUUCCCACCUGUGUCUUUCAAAAGCAUGGGAUAAGAAACAGAUUCUGUAAUUUCCUCCGUAAGAGCACAAACUUAGAGGCCCUGCCCUAAUCUUCCUUCCAGCAUUUCUUUGUCUUCUUGUUGGAACUCAGCCUUGUUCUGCAGAGAGGAAGAGACAACAGCCAGAUAUGAUGGGUAUGUGACUGGUCUACUGACUUCUUCCCACAUACCACCAAAGGAUUUUUCUAAUAGACUUUGUUUUCUGCCAUUUGCUGGUUUGUUUUUGUAACAAAGCUUUCAUACAUGGCAGAUGUGUUCUGGAAGGAAAGACCAUGAGGACUGCAGUACUCUUUCAAAGCAAAGACUAGGCCUAAGAUCCUACUUCUAACAGAGGUGUGAAAAGAUGACCAAGAACAGGAUAACUAAGCACAAUAUUCCCAAACAGUUACUCUUUUUAAUAUUUCACAAACUUGCCUUUAGAUUCUAAAUAAUCCCCAGUGACUUUCUCAUCCAUGCACUCAUCCAGCCUUUCCUUAAACCGUAAGCAACUGCAACACCAUUUGGCAACAAGUUUCACAUGCCUUGUACUCACUGCACAGCAAGUCUGGCUCCUGCACACUUCAAACCUGGCACUGGCUCUAUUUAUGCAGGUGUUAGAAGUUACAUUUUUUUAUUGCACUUCUUAAUAAGUUAUUCAGAAUGUAAAAUGCUUACAGGCCUCAGCUUUACCAAGCUGUGUUUAACAUAAUGGCAUUACAUCUGCCACUGUGCACACCAAAACCAUUCCAGCCAACCAUUUACACCAUUACUAAUUCACCUUUUUCAUUCUUCACAAAGUUUGGAAAAUAUUGGUUUUAUCUUAAGGCAAAAUAUUUACGUUUCCAACAAGAAGGUUGUAUGAAGGUUUGCUGUAGCAUUGAUCUGUCCAGUUGAGAGAAGUGGAGAGCAUUCACAGCAUUUUGUUUAUCCCUACCCAAAAUUCCCCAGAAAUGAGCUCACGCUGGCCUUCCCUCAGUAGACUUUUUUUCUAUGUGCCUUACAUAUAGCGAUUACAUUAAAGACAUUUUCACACCUUUUCCAUCUUCAGUUUUGACAUAAGAGUUUGCUUUUUCUUUUCUAAUUUGCAGAUCGUCGCUGGUACAGACCUUAUCCUGGAAGGCAUCAGAUGCAAAGUAUGCGAAUGGAAAGACCUCCAGAAAUGCUCCACUUAAGGAAAGACAAGUGAGCCUGAAACACCUUCAGAAGAAAAAAGGCACUAAAUGUAAUCAGCUUAAAUUCUUUCGGUACUUUCAAAUUCAUUAGUAUUUCCAGGUAGUGCUACAAGUAAUGCUGAAGGGCUCUUGGAGAACAGAGGAUCUUGGGUAAAGCAAGUAUUUGCUAUAAUUUGAUUCUGAUGAGAACAAAAUAGAUGGAAUUGUCUGGAAUAUAUUUAUAGCAAAAAGACUUUAUUAAUCACAGCUUUCUGACCUGAUCAUCCUGGCAUACAGGUAUGCAGCUUGUCUCUACAACCUCUUCUUUAACUGACGACAACAUGAGAACAAAUGAAUGAAAAUGAGCGACUCAACCCAGUGCUCAGAGCCCCAUCCUCCAGUCUUUUGCACAACACUGAAACUCAGACAAACCCAAGAUUCAGAUUACAAAGAGGCAGAUUUCUUCUCUGCUGUCAACACUUCUAUAUUUGUGUUGGUUGGCUUGACUCCUUGAUCUCCGAGGAAUCGUCCCGAAGACUACAGGCAGAUACACAACCGGAAGAGCAAAGAAUAUUUAAGCAGCAGAACUGCUCAGUGGGAACAUGUAGGUGUUUGUCUGCAACAUUGAGAUUCUGAUGUUGUUUUAUUUUCAAGCUCCUUUCUAGCCUGAACAGGUUAGAUUUAAAAACAGGCCUUAAAUCAGCAGGCUAUUUCAACUGAAUGAAUUAUUCUAAUCAUUAAAUGAUUGACCAAAGUUGUUGUUUUGGCAUUCACCUGAAAGUAAGCAAAGCAAAUCAGAUAAUUUUGUACUGUACUUUUCUUUCCUCUUUUUUUUCAAUAUAUGUUUCUUGAAAGCAAGAGAAGUGUUGAUUUGAUCCCAAAGCAAUAUUCAGCCUGUAUUGUGUCAAGCAGGCACUUCUCCCCUGAUGGAUGGUCUAAUCCAUGUCAGAACAUCUCUGAUACUGGAAAUUAGGAAAGGAAAAUUCUUUGUUCUUUGUGGUUACCAGCAUUUCAGUGCAAAUCCCUUCUGGUAUGUGUAUUAUACCACAGCAACAUUAUUCCACACGUUCUACCAAAAGUCUUCAUGAUACACUCCCAGAUUUAAGAGGAGAUAAGCUCUGGUAUCAGAAUAUUCACCUGAAAACUGAUUUUUCACAUCCAGUGCAAUUUAUAGAACACACACUUCCACUGAAAUAUUUGGGAUUAAAAUGUUUGGGACUUAAAAAUCAAACAGGGAAAAAUACUGUAACAGUUUUGAAAUGAUCCUAGCUUGGUGCAAGGGUCUCUUACUACAGAUUAAAUACUGGUUUUUUCAACAUAUCUGCUCUGAUCCCACUGUAUGUUGGGAAUAAAGGGUUGCUGUGAUACACCAUAUAUUUCAGCCCAUUUUCACCACCACAGAGUUUGUAGAUGAUGCUCAGAUGCAGAUGACUAUGCCAAGAAGGGGGAAGAGAGUUCUAAGUGUUUCCUCUUAGAAGACUUAGUGUCCAGUUAAGUAAAGUGACAUCUUCCAGAUGAAGUGGAAACUCCAGCAAGACCUGUAUCAGCCUAAUGAACAGCAUUACGCACCUGCAACAUUUGGGACAGAUGUAAUCAGCAAUAUUUUUCUUCCUUCUUGAGUCAUUUCCAUCAUUAAAAAUAACUCUGAAAGACUGACUGUUUCCUAAAUUAAUUCUUCAAUAGAUUCAUCACAACAGAUGGUUUUGUUCACUCCCAAACACCAGCUUCAAGCAAGGGAAAGACAAACAGCAACAGCGCAGUAACCACAUAUAUAAUGUCUUGGAGCACCUCCUGAAUUGGAAACUCAGGACAGAAAAAAGUACCACAAACAUUAACAGGGCCAAACUAAUGUCAGCAGAAUCCAGCAAACCUGUCACAUCACCUUGGUAAUAUACUGUUUUGCUUAGAAUCCAAAACUUCCUUAAGUAACACAAUUUAUUGCCUCAAAUCUUAUUAUAACACCCAACCAGCAAAUGCUUCUAUGCUGCUUUGUAACAUGCACCUUACAAGGUCUGAACUUUAAAAACUGAAAAUCAAAAUUACAAUCUUUUAUCUGACUGCUUUGCAGAGGCUAAAAUUCAGCUGCUAUUGUAUUUUCUGUUAUGCCAAAUGUCCCACAUCUAAAUCCCUUCAUAUUUUGAAGAGGAAAAAAGCCAAAAGAAAGUCACAACCUUCUGCAGCUCAUUUCUGGUAACAGAAAAAAUGUCUUACUUUUUAGUUUCAGUGAAGCAUUUUGUUCUAGAUAGACACACAUAUAUAUAUCUCAAUACAAGCUUAUGCUAGCAAAAAUCAGAACUAGGAAGAUGUUUUAGAUCCAACCAUGUCAUGCUAAGACAGUUUUGGGCUUUUUUCCCUAGAAGCAGAAAUUCCCCAUCAGCUACAACUCUCUUUCCAUCAGAACUUAGCAUUUGAUCACACAGCCUUCUCCUAAAGGAAAAGCAGUCCUCCGGUACUUGAAAUUGCAAACAGGCUUCCAGGCCACUGGAAAACCUGUUGACAUUACUGUUAAAGAAAAGAAAUAAACACCUUUCCUGUCUAACAUAACCUAAUCUGUUGAAUUUCUGUGCGAGGCAUUCUGGAGUUCAGUAAAAUAGUUUACAAAUAAAAGCCAACAUUGGAAUGAGGAUUUGUGCCUCGAAAUCACACCUUUAUACUUAGGAUACACACGUUUGAAAGAUCCUGCAGCCUGGUCCCAAUAGAACAGCCAUUAUACUUGUAUAAUUUUUUUCCAUCUGUAAUUCAGUGCAUUAGGUAAUGAGCUCUGGAAAUUUGUAAUUUAUUUUUUUUUAAACUGCUUUAAAUCAAAUCAGGGACAACAGACAAAACUGAAUAACCUGCUUACUAUUUUACAAAGUAUUUCCAUCCAAUUAUGAGCUCAACAACCAUUUCAUAGCUCUGGUAAAAAUAAAAAAUGACGUAGCCACAGAAUAAAACCCAAGACCAUAAAACUCUACUGCAUUGUAUUUGGCUUAUUUCUUUCAGAGAGAUUAACAAGAGCUACACAAUUUACAGCUACUUAAACACAACUCUCACUGCAUAAAUAGCCAACAUCACUGUUUCACACCGUUGACAAUAAUUUCUAUCACAAAAGAGAUCUGAUGAUCCAAUCUGCCAGUAUUUGCCAUUUAAAGGAUCUGGCAUGCUGCUAUGUCUAAAAUGAACCUGAAAAUGAAAAAAAAAAAAAAAACACAACAAACCUAUACCCGUUUUGUUUUGUUACACAGCAGGGAAGAAUUCUGAGUUUACAAAGCAUUUUCAAAGGAAGCCAUCAUACAGUACUUUUUUUUUCCACAAAGCCAUCUGGAAAAUUCCCUGCCCUAAAGAAGAGAGAUCUCUCUUCUGCCCAUGUCAAUUGUCAGAGCACAUGAACUCUCCGCUACUGGAUUUCCAAGCAGACACUUGUUUUGAUGCUGGGAAGGCACCAGCAGAGAACAGCUGGAGACUCCUGAGGAUUUGCUUGCUCUGUGUGCAGUCCCCGGGGAUCCCGGGUGACAAGCAGCAGCAGCAGCAGCAGCAGCAGAGCCACGGGAGCGAGCAGCUCAGAGAAGGCUUUUCUGCAACACCUCUGCCUGUGAAAGGGCCAUGCACCCCAUAUUCUACAGCCCUUCACUUGCCAUGGCUGCAGCUCUCAGAAAAACUUGAAACCAAGCCCCUCACCUUGCAUGCAGCUGCAUCCAAGCAAAGAAAAUGCUGGUGAGGCAUUUGAGAGCUGAAAUUUGGAAAAACUUAGAGGUGGAUGCAGCCCAAGCCCAGCCCCUGAGCUCUGAUUCUCAGUAGUGAUACCUCCAAGCAACUCAAAGCCUUGCUGAUUCCAGAAUUCUCCUUUUCUCCAUCAUUCCACCUUGGUUUUUUCACAAUACACAACCCAGAAACCUUCUAGGCAACAGCUCUUCAGCCACAGACACAGGCACCUGCAGGAAUGAGAUCCGCAACCUAAGCAGGGAUUAUACAGAAUUUCUGUCCGCUGCUAUUUUUCUCUCAUGGCACUCAGGAUUUUUGGAAUCGCUGAAGUUGCUCUUUGAAGCCUAGUUUAUUUCUGAUCAGCCUUUCUCCUGUGUUACAGGGAAUUUGUCCAACAGUGUUGUCACAGUAUCACCGCAGGGUAAAGCUGAGCUGUCACUCUUACUCCUAGUUUCAGAUCUCCACGAGACUCAAGCAAUGGGACACUCACUCACAGCACACACCAGAAAUUUUACAUUCAUUUACACUGGGGAUCCACUUUUUAACAACCUUAUAAUACUUUGAGAACUCCCUUUAUGCCUAGAUUGUUCACACAGAAAGAGAGUUUCUUUCUGUACAUGCAAGAGCCUUGGUUUGUGUUUGUACAGAAGCUGUGCCUGAAUUUUAAUGCUUUAUAAGCCUUGUUAUGAAACGUCUGUUCAUUUGUACUGCAUGUACCUUUCUUCCCCUCCUAGGAAACCACACUCCAGCUCAUCUGCAGGAAUGAAGACACCCACCUGAACUCCUCCCCCCCAGCCUCCUCAGUGCAGCUUUACAAGUUCCCACCUUGCAUUUCCCAAAUUCACUGAGAAGGUGACAGUCUCUGCAAAUAACAACGUACAAGCUGAAACUCUAGAUUUUGUGUAACUUUCAACAAGUUCCUAAAACCUGUAAGUGACACACAUUUCCCUGACAAGAAAAUACCAGUAGAAAGCUAACUUUCAAUUAAAAGAACUCAUUUUCACAAGGGAUUUUUUUUUUGCAACUUAUCCUAAAGCCCUGACCAUUAUUUCUAAUAUAGUGAUUACAGAGUGUGAAAGGCUUGAGGGACCUCACAUUUUUCAGUGGUAUUGUACUUGCCACUCCUUCAGAGAGGCAGACCUUUGGAAAAGGCAAGGAAAAUGGGGAAAAGAGAACCCUAGUAUAGAGUUAACCUUCUUGCAAUCAAUCCUUUCAACUCAACUCACUCUCGUAGGUGAUGCCUGGGGGAACAGUACAAGGUGCACUGUCUGCAGGCCAGGACUGGCCCUGCCAGACCAGACAACAGAGACUUUCCAUUACAAGAUCCACAAAAAAUAUGAACAUUCAACAGUUCCUCCCUUCUCUCCCCUCUGUUCCCACCCAGGCCUUGCUUUACAAAGGGGAUGAUUCCUCAUCCCUCAUCUUUUCCACUACAACUUUCCACUACCAAGCAAAGUUACCCAAUUCUGAAGGAGGCCUCCUUUCUCAUUCAAGAAAAGGGAAUAAAACCCCUGAUAGUUGGUACAUUCUGCAUCCUUCUGAAACAUCUUAAUUUACAGAAAUAUGUUAUUUCCAACCAACCCAUUCUUAUUGUUCAUUUAGAAUACAACCAGCCUUUUUAUUGCAAAAUAACACUUAUUGAGAAAUAGUCCUUUAGCAGAUUUCAUUCUUUCCCUAUUUUUCACCCAGCCCAAAUGCAUACACACAAUAAAUAAGCUAUAAUUUUGGUUCUAAAACAGCUGUCAUCUCAUAAAAACUUGCUGCUCACAAGCAAUGUUUGUUGCACAUUCAAUCCUAUAAGGAUAUAAUACACAUAAUUAUGCUAUUGUUAUUAAGGCAAUCAUAACAGAUACCAUAUGGACUUUAAAGUGGCUUUGAGAACCAUUUUUUAAUAAACGCAACAUCACUGACACAUUUUGGAAGAAAAAUCCAUUCCCUAAAGUGCACGCUGUUGGUAAUAUAUAUAGCUUACUCUUUUUGGGGUGUUUUUACACUGUAUGCACUGAGAGUAACAAUACAACUCAUAGCUUCCAUUGAGAUCUCACUUUCAAAGGCUCUCCAGACUCACUGCACAUCAUGUUUUUAAUACAACAGUGACUGCAUGCCAGAAUUCAAUGCUCCUGCAAAUAUGCCAACUUGUAGCUACUUUCAAAAUGAGCUGCUCACUAGGAAUUAGUGCCAGGGUAAAUCAAUGGCACAUUCAGCUAGAUGUCCCAGCUCUGCGAAAUGAAUUAUACGCUAUAUACAGUCCUUUUGUACACGUCUGGUUUUUUUUGCAUCUUUAUCAACGAAAGCUGAAAAGACUAGAAAUGAAGUUCCAGAAGGCUGUAAAUUAUCCAGCAAAGGAUUAGCAGAACAGGAAGCAAUUUUGUCUACCUGCACGUUUAAAUACUGGAUUCAUGUAUUAGAAUAAAUUCUACGCUGUCUAAACCAUUUCACCCCUUCUCAAAAAACGCUGCUUUCUUUGGAUGGUUCCCGCUGUGACACACACAGAGCAGCGGGAUGCUGGGAGCUGCACCAGCAGCCUACUAAUAGCUGAGUGCUGGGGUGUUGUUGGGAAAAACAAAAAAGUCACUUAAGUUGUAACAGCUAAUGGGCGGCAGAUAAUUGGGGGCAGCAAAACUGAACUUUUGAAUGCUCCAGCACAAACCUGCUACUUGCUAGCUGCAGCUGGUAUGGACACGGGACAGAACAGAAAAAUAGGAGGUGGAUCCCACGUGCUUCUGCACGUGGGACUGUUAGACUGGGAAAAUGGGAGGCCUGGGAAGUGGGAAGAAGGAAGGGAAGAUGCUGGUUAGAUCCCGGAGCUCAGGCUCAUGCACGGGGGCAGAUAUCAGAGCUAACUGUGAACCUGGCUUUCAGUCCCACCUCCUAUAGCCAAGAUCAUCCUUGUCGGGAAGGCCACAGAUCAUCAAACAGGGUAAAGCCUCUCACCUUUUUGGUUCUUAAAUAAACUGCAGUAUCCAGAGAUACUAUGUAUGGCAGGGUUUUUGCCCCCAUUUUUUUUGAAAAAUAAGUUUUUUACUCAUGACAUGGAGGUCAUCUCCAUUUCUUUAAAAAAAAACACUGCCAAGUGCACACUUGACCAAUCUGCAAUGCUCUUAUUGCAAAAUCCAGUAAGCCUCGGGGCUGUCCACUCUUACGAACAGCAGGAAAAUUUUAGAAAUAAUUGAAUCUUGUGGACUUGUGUUUGUGAGGGAGGAGCCUUCUCCACAAGGCUAAGCAGCAAUUUGCAGAAGUCUCAACAGCCUGACUGUGUCCCAUUUAUAAAACCUUCUUAUUCAGUACCCUUUCAUUCCCUUCAGACAUUCAAUCAAUUUUCCAUCCACAUCUCAGAAGUGCGACUGACUCUACAAGUUGUGUGCAGUUGUACCACGUGUUAAUCAUCUCCUCCUACAGAACCAGCUUCCUUUAUCUACUACAACCUCAGAGGAACAUGUCUAAUUCCACCUGACUACACCAUUCAGAGAUAGUAUAUCGUAUUUAUUUUCAUAUGGAUUAUGCACUGUGCCUUAGGUGCUUAUACUAUGGGCAUUUUUAUAAGUGUAAACUUGAUUGAUUGGUCACAAGACUGUUUUGGAUAGCUGUAAAAUGGAUUUGGCCCCCAGCCACGGUUUGCUCAGCACAGAUAUACUGUAGGACUGAGAUAACUUCAAGAAUUCAUAACACAUAUGCUCAGAAAUAUUACAAACCCGUAUUUGUACGGUUGGCAUUAUACAUGCAUCGCUAAACAUUUCUCAAUAGCAAUGCAUACUACAACGUAUAAGAGAAUCCUGGCUGGAUAUUUAUCAGGAAAGAAGACUUAUGAAAAUGUGUUUUCAAUAACUGGUGUGAAGUCAGCCCACUCUGUGCUGAUUAGAUGCAGCGGCAGCUCAGAAACAGCCUUAUUCAGCAUAAUACGAAGCAAUCACCCGCUGUACACAGGCUUGAAUUGGGAGCUUCACACUUUAUGCUGAGUGACUAAAUGCAAAAAAAAUCAAGAUGACUGCAUUAAUUGCCAUCUUCUACUUGAAUGGCAAAAAGAAAUCCAACAUCUAACGUCACCUCUCCACCUGGAUUCUUUUUCCACGGUAUUCUCAAUUGCUGUUUCAAAAAAUCACCUUUGUAAGAUUAACUCACUAUAGUAAUGCCAUUGUUAUCAAAGUACAAAGCUGCCACCCUUCUAGGAAGCCAUCGUUUUUAUACAAACUAUACGAGCUUGAUAUUAAGAUUGUUUUUAUAUGCAAAUUGUAUCUUCAUACCAUUUUAUGCUCCUCUUUCUUGUAAGUUGCAAAGGAGGCCUUGUACAAGCCGGUAUUUCUGUUCUUCAGAUCUGGUCUUCAAGAGUCUCAGUUUUAAAAGAAGAACUGGACUGUUUUCAAGCAGUUAAGUCACCAGCAUAAAUAUUUCACAUAUCGGAUAAAAAUAAGGUUUUCCUAAGUAGCUGUAACUUUCUAGGGUUCUAGAGCUUCCCAGUAUUGAACUGGUAAUGACAAAGACUGCAGCCAUUAAAGGCAACCUUGUGAUGGAUCAUCCACUAUUCUAUUCUAUUUCUCACUACCUUCAAAUAAUAGUCAAACCAAUACAUUUCACUUAGAACACGUAAUUCUCUUGUUCUGGUGCAUUUGCAAACUACUACCUGUAACAAUGUGGGAACAUUACAGCCACCUUGAUAUGCAUGGUCUGGGUUCUUACAAACACCUGAGAAGGAAUUUAUUUUUAAUCUUCACGCUUUGAAUAAUCCUUUCUAUACCAACUCACACAUGCAACUUUAUUGCUAGUAUGAAGCAAAACAUUUAACUCAGAUGAGGACUAGGUAAACAUUUUGGACAGUCUUACUUCUCUUUGCAAAAGCAUGGCUCCAAUCACAAACAGCAGGAAAGUCUCUCAUUAGGCUCUGAAACUUUGGAUGUAGUAAUUUCACAAACCUCAACCGAGGAGAAAGCAGCAUUUGUCCAUGCCAGAUACAAGCACUCCCUCCUAAAUUUCAUGUUAAGUCCGAUUUUCUUAUCUACAAUGAAAUAGGCCAGAUUUUUUUUUCUCCUGCAAUAAAUCCUAAAAUAAUUUUCAGGUCUCCAAAAAGCUCUGCUGGACACCACUGAAUCAGCAGCGCUAAGGAAAAAAACACCUUUUCCCUCUUUGAGACAGCCCUGGUGUUAACUUAGGAAUGUUCUUGCAGGCUGAUUCACUACAGCACCAAAGCAUAUGUUCACCUUUAGGAGUGCACAACUGACGUAAACUGGAAAGGCCCACGUUAAUGGUUUGCUGGAUCAGGUCCUAGUCCACAGUUGGUUACCCAGUUAAUCUGUUGCUGAUCCUCUGUGUGCUCACAGGGGCUUAGAAGAUGGCAUGGGAAAACAGGAAUGAAAAGAUGCAGAGACAAGAUGCACCAUUAUGACAGUUCACUGAAUCAUCGAGACCGUGGCUUGUCAACUACAGACAACAGUUAAAUCAAAUCAAAAUAGGGUUUGGGGAUCAAUUAAACCAUAUUGCUGGAAUCAUGCUGUCAACUGGCACCUGAACAUAAACUAAUACAAUCAAGCUACCACAGUUCAGGCUACCAAUAAUGUUAAAUUACACUCCUUGGACUGCAAAGCUUUUUUGACUGUCUUCUUUUUAACUUCCUUAGGUUAAAGUUGAUUUUUAAGGCAAUCCAUUAAAGUCAGAAAGCAUAUUUUUCUCCCCUCAACAAAGAACAUCCUUUAGUGGCAUGGCAAUGUCACUUUGCCAACAAUUAAAAAGGCCUGAUUUAUACAGUCUUUAGUAUCAGUGCAUGGGACAAUGAAAUGCUUCCAGAAAAUCACACGAUUUUGUAUUUUCAGUCUCCAGGGAAAGCCACAGAGACGUGGGCCAACACAGUUAUAUGUCAUUUGCAAAAUGAAACAUGGCACUUGAUAAAGAAAUAAUCUAGGUGGGAUGCUUGCUAAGUAGGUCCAAGCUGUCAAAGCAUCAAAGACAUCACCUUUUCCUCCUGUCACUCAGAGUACUGGCAACCUAUGCCCAUUACCAUGAGAACAGAGAUACUGCUGAAGUUAAAAAAAAAAAACAAACAAACACCGGAACCUUGUGGCUUUUGCACUAUGAGAGAGUCCACAAAAGAGAGUUUGGUGGAGACAUGCCAAGGUUAACUUUUUUACUUGUGAAAGUAAUAAUAACAAAACACUUUUUAAAUAUUCAAAUCAGAUAUACACAAUUAUAGAAUUAAGUUGGAAAAUACCUGCAAGAUCUUCCCACUGAAUUCCCCAAUUAAUUAAUCUUCAAUACCUUGGCAACUACUACUCUUCAUAGGAUUGUGGAAUGUUUUGGGCUGGAAGAUACCCUAAAGAACAUCUUAUUCCAAACGCCCUGGCAUGGGGAGGGACACACUCCCCUUGGCCAGGUUACUCAGGGCCCCAACCAGCCUGACCUUGAACAUUUCCAGGGAUGGGAAAGAUUUCAUAAAAUUUUUAAUAAGAGCAAGGUUUUCAGCUCACGUUGUAGACCAGGAGAGGGAAAACAAAGACAGAAAUGACAGCACAGAAAGGCAGGGGAAAGAGAAGGGAGUAUUUUGAAGUCCUACACUUCAGCACAUGCUGGUGAUACCUUUAAACUGGUAGAGAUUCAAAAGAGGUUUAAAAGAGAGACUUAGAAGAGGUAGAGAUUUAAAAAUAAUCAUUGGAAGCAUUAACAAGAUGCUCAAGCCUUUCAGCCACCCAGCCAGGCAUUGACAGCAUCUGGUGUCUUCCCUGAUGGGACAGCACUGAAUCCUGUGCAGGGUGGCCUAAACCAGGCUGCACCCAAGGACAACCACUGUGCUCCCAGGCCUGGCAGCUGUGGUUUCAAAUAGUUACAUAAGGCCUUCUUAAAAUGUGUGUGCGUAUUAAUGAAGUGGUAUAAUCCUCAUAUACACUUUUAAAACUGCACAAAAAUUAAUUAAUCUAGAAUUAGGGUGCAUUGUUUUCCUUUCCCAUUAUUUUCACUUUGGCUUCCUCAGGUGAUUUUAAAUCCAGCAGAAGUAUGUUUGAAUGGGCCUGAUGCUCUGAUGAAGGCUUGAUGCACAGUCCUCUGGAUAGGACACAUCCAAUAGACAAGUGAUGGAUGAAUGCUGACAAAGUGCCCUCCCCUAAAAUGUCACCUGAUGAUAGAAAGUUUCUGAGUUCUUUGCUAGAGACAAGUGUGGGGAAGCAAGGCAAAAGGCAAGCUCUUUAAAGAGAAACAACAUGGCUUGGGCAGACCAGCAGUGCAGCAGCAGCUGGGUCACCCUCAUCAGACACUUUGAAGAGCUGAUGAAAGGUGCACCAUCCAGGGGAGCCCUGAACAUAGGCUUUUUAAUACUCCUUCACUCAAGGGGACACACUAACAGCCUAAAUAUUCCUGCUUCCCCCCUCUACGUAUGGCUGCCGACAAAGAUGGACACUGAGGGGGAUGUAAUGCUACACCCCACACACUUCUCAUCACAAGUUACCCACCUGGCAAAAUCGAAUGUGGGGGGAAAACAACAGGGUUUGAGAAUGAAGACCCACCUUCUGUCUGAAAGUUUUAGAGGCAAAGAGAGAAAAUAUCCUCUUAAAUCUACCAUCUCUUUUUCCCCAGACAAGCUGCUCUCUUGCUCCUGCCACACAGCUCUUCUCUAUGCUCACAGCACUUAUCUUACAGACCUCAAAAUCCUCUUCCUCCUUUUGAGAAUAAAUCUUCUGUAGGUCUUAAAACACACUCUGAUAGACCUAGUGUGGUUAAUGAAGUAAAAUCCCACAGUCUGGAAGGAAGCAGCUGCCCUGGAGCAGAGGAACAGCCCUGCGGUCUCUCUUCGUUUAACUCCUGGUUCCCCAAAGCUCCUACGUUUGUUUUGGCCCAACACCAUCCCCUUUGGUAGAAGUACAAAGACCCUGUAUCUCCAGACUGGCUGCUCUGGCUUGGACUGCAGAUACAAUUCACAUUUCUAUUUUAAACUUGGGCUAAAACCUGUCAUCUUUUCAGGGAGCACAGCAGCAAAUACAUCAAAGUGUUCAUGGUCUUCCGUUAACUUUCCUGCAAUUUGCCCUAAAGGACAUGCCUGCUCCAAAACUGUCACGAUUAACUUGGACAAGGGGGAGAGUUGAAGGCUACAGAAGCAUCUUAGGAGAAAGAAAGCCGUGGCAAGUCCCAAGACACCCUCAUGGGAGCACAGAAAUAGUGCACCAACAGUAACAGGGGCGUAGCUCUGCUCCCAACAGCGGCACGCGGAUGCUCAGCCCCGGGUUCCUCCGCUCGCAGCCUCAGCUCCUCCAGGGAAAUAUACACACAUUUGGUACUGCAGGCAACCUCUGCAAGGCAAAUCCCUGGCUGCCUCGACUGGAAUACAGCUCAACUCUGAGCCUAAUUUAGGAACCAGUUUAGGAUUUCAGUUCAGCUUUAUUAGUGAAGUUGAUGGACUGAGAAGAACUCACACAAAGCUGUGGCUCCUGUAGCAUGGAGGUAAUUUUAUUGACAAAAUUGUUCCACAAGCCGAGUAAACUGUGGUUUAGGUGAGCAUUGCUUACUGCUGCUGUUUUCCCCUCCAGGGUUAUCAGAAAGCGAGUCAUUCACCCCUGUGAUAAGCAUUUUAAUGACAGUAUCCUGAAACUGCAGCCACUGUGAUUCACAGAGGAAACCCAUCCCAAAAAGCCUUCACCUAAGACAAGAAAGGUAUUUAUAGGGAAGCUUGCUGGCUUAUAUGAAAACACAAAUAUACUGACAAAAGUGUUUUCCAAAUCAAGUUAAUGAAUACCAAAAAUGCAAGCAAAAUAGAUGAUCUAGGGAAGAAAAUUUCAAAGGAGGGUGGGAACAGAAGGCAUCAGGCACUGAGUUGCAGGGAUGGCAUACAGGGACGUUUCUGCACAGUUAAAGAUUUUAAAAACAACUGGUGGGACAAACAGUAACCCAGCUAAUCCUUGGUACUGGCACGCAGCCUAUUUUGGGAGAGCAGCAGCUGGUGAAUCUGACGUAAGUCUCUGCAUCCAAAGCAGGAACUUACUGUAAUGAAACCACAGCCCACAUUGGAAAAAAGACUGUAAACGCGACAAAAAAAAAAAAAUUUAAAAAAUCAGGAUCUCAAUACACUAUGUGCUACAUUUUCAUCCAAGUAAAAUUAGCCACAGAAUGUCACAAUUAGGCUGAUUCAAAAAAAAAAAAAACCAAAAAAACUAAAAAACCAAACCAAAAAAAACAACAACCAAAAAAACCAACAACCAAAAAAUCUCCAAAAUCAAAACCAUAAGUUGGACUGAAUUAAGUAUUUAAAAAAAAAAACAACAUAACAGGGUGAGGAUGAAGAAAUUACAAGCCUUGCAUCUUCUUCGGUUUGAAAAGUACAAAUCUAAGACCUUAAGUGGCAUAAAAACACCAUUCCAGAAGCCUGAGGCACUAGGCAGAACUACAUGGACUGGAAAAAAUAGGCACAUUAGUGAACCACCUAAUUCAGGAUCCAGUUACUCUUCCACCCCCAUUAGGGCACUGCAAGAAUGUCAUUCCCUUUAUCUUGGGCACCGUGAGAAAAGCGCCUUCUGAUAAAAACAUCCACACCUCUCUCUCCCCCUCAUUCCCUCCCUCUCCCUGGCCUCAGAGGAGGGCCAGGUUCAGGUGAGGCUCUGAGCAGAUACUCUCUGCAUUUCCCUGACUGACUGGUUUCCAGGAUUCUUUCUUCCUUUCUUUCAGAAAAUACAAUGGGGGACCAAAAGAAGGGUUUGAGGAACGCAGUGCUUUUUAAUCUUUCUCUUAGCUGUUUGAUAAUAAUUAGCAUGGGAAGAAAUUACCAUCUGCAUAAUGGUAGGAGCAGUCACACAACGCCCCUGAAUCUCAUUUCAGGAAUUCCAGUUGCUGCACCUGGUAAGGGUAAUGGAAGGUGCCGAUUUCAUGGACAAAAAAAAAACCCUUAAAAUAUCUUUAAACGGUCUGAGAGGCACACAAAAGGGGUGAAGAGGGUUAUAUUUCAUUUAGGGAUGAUAGAAGAGGAAGUCAUCAGGUCAUUAAAUCGUUUAAUUUGUUCUAUAAGCAAAUGAGUGCAUAAACACCAGAGUUCUGGUUAUAUUAUCGCUGACUGACCUUCAGUGUCAAACUUGCUCAGUUUAGAAAGAAAAUGUUUUCUUUUGUCUUUAAGAGCCAGCCUUGUAAAAAUAGCUCCGGAGCUGAAAGUCAAACUGUGUUCUUUUUUGUUCAUGCAUCACCAUAGAAAUUGGUGAUGGAAAACUUAUUAGAAAUUGUCACUGGAGUCAGCAGAUACCGGCUUUCAAUAAUCUUUGGCAGCGCCGUGGAGUAAGGAAGGGGAUGUUUUCCAGAUCACAACUCCUCUUGAAACAACCAGAUUGUGCCUCCAGGGCUGUGCGUGAAGCAAGGGCACGGAGAGGGGCUGUGCAAGAUAAGAUGGGGGGGAAGGGAAUGAAAUGACUCGCUGGUUUUUCCCCUGACCAGCAGAUCCUUCACGCACCGCAUGCCCCCGCCCCAGCCGCCGGCAGAACGCGGUCACGUUGCGAAGCUGGGAUGAGCUGUCGGCUUGCCAGGAGCUCCCUGCCUUCUCCUGCGCCGGCCUCAGCGCUGCAAAUGUGGCUCUGGAAACGCAGGAAGCGCUCUGAAAAUUUUAGCUGUUCUCAUCAACCACUCGUGCUUCUUAACCCCUCGCUAAUUCCCUCCCACAGCACAGCCUGUGCUGCACAUUUCAGGGAGAUGAACCUCAAUUUGCGGCAGGGAACUCUGCUGAAACCGGAUCAGCCUCACUCGAUUCAACCUCCAGACUGUCUUGAUUCCAAGCCCGCUUCUGCUCAAUGUUCAAAAUCUUCACAGAUUUCUCUGUGCAGCCAGAAGAACCAAGUUCAACACGGAAACUAAAUCUGUCCUACUUUAACAUCUUUCAUUUCCAGCAUUUAAUUCCUAGCUUUUAAUACAUGAGAACCAGCAUUUCUCUAAAUAGGCUUCUCCACUGCUUUUUUAGACUGUACAUCAUUGAUCCAGGCUUUCCCAGUGCCAUUUGCUUUGGGAUCACCAUCAUCCAAAGAGAAAGUUUGCUACAGAACAGCAGUGGCAGAAGCGGCUCCAAAAGGGAGUUUGGGAAGCAUCACAGAUCCAGCCCUGACUCUUCUCUUCUCCUCCCAUGUAACACAGGAACUUCUCAGGUCGGAGGAAAAUUCAUGCAGCUCCCAAAGGAGACACACUUCCUUCCCUGGAGAAAAGGCAGCUGGAAGUCUCCGUUUAAUUUCUGAAAUGCUUUACAUACCGUGAGUGUUAUGCAUCUCACAUUUUGACUUCAGUGAGUUAUUAUAUCAUCACGGAAAAACAUUAUAAAUAUUACAUUGAAAACAAACAUAGAAGUAUAAUUUAUAACCACUGACUCAAAACUAGCUGCCUUGGAACUCCCAGGCCAUGGGGCCACCAUUUGCCUCUGCUCAUCAUCCUGUUAACUUUGUCUUCCACAAAUGUCAUCACAGGGAAAAUGGUGAGAUACUUGAAAUCUCACCAAGUUUAUAGUUAAUAAAGUUGUUUAGCAUGGAUGAAAUUAUUUCAUAUUAUAUUCAUGACAGAAAUCUUGCAUAAAAUAAUUUCAUGCCUUAAUAUUCACAGAAUUUCAGCAUUCUUCACACAGGCUUUGCUUUAAUUAUCCAUAAUGAUUAACUCCAUCAUUUAAAUGGUAAACUGAAUCAUUUCUGGCACUGUGAGAAGGGAGGGAGCUUUCCACAGACAUGAUGCAAAUAGAUCAAUGAAACAUAAUAAAUGUAACAUUUUUGGCUAAAAGUUGUCAUUUUACUGUUCAAAUACAGAAGUAUUCUUUAUGGAUUGAUAGAAGGAUGCAUUGAAAUAACAUUCUGAGAUGUCCCUCACACAAGGAUUAGAAGCAGCAUUAUGUGCCUGCUCUCUAACAAGAGCUGGAAGAUGCUCUGGAGGCUGGACACACCAGGAACUUUAAAAGUAGUCUAUGUUUUGGACUUCUUUGCACAGAAGGGAGGAGCAGAUUGCUGAAUUUUACUCUUGGUAAUGGAUGACCUCCUUCUGUAGCUCUUUUUCAAUCAAAUAAUUUUUUUUCUUCCAAGAUAUCUGCUGGGAAGGUUUCCUGGAAAGUAGCAGAAGUGGUUUGGGAUGUGAUUUCUGCAGCCGCAUUUGAAGUCCCUUAUUUCUGAAAUAGAAAUUUGGAGACAAAACUUCCUUCAAAAUGAAAAAUUUAGAGUGGGAGGAAAGGGAAGUAGGGUGGACAUUUUUUGAAGGUGUUUAAGUGAUUCUACUACUUUAAAACAUGUUUUACCUCAUUCAAGAAAACAAGAGUGUGUUUCAGAGAACCCUUAAAACCAGAGUUGUUUAACAUGAAAAAUAAAGCAUAGAUGUACAAAAGCAGAGUGAGGUGAGUUUUUUGGCGGAUGCAUUCUGCUCCAUCUCCUUUGCAGGCAGGGCUGUCACACAGCCACACACACUGUGGGCAGGCUUCCCCUGGCAGUGGAAUUUACCAGCACAUCUCAAUUGCAUUUCAGGCACGGAAGAGCAGAGGGUCCACACACCAGCACAUCCUUCAGACUCAUCCUUCCUCUGAGACAUGUCCCCCAUCAGUGCUGAGUCAGCCAGAGCCAAGCUGGGCAUCCGGCAGCACAGACUGUCUGUGCUACACGAGCUUUGACUCAGCUCAUGCCAGCUGAUGAGGAAGGGAUUGGCCUGAGCACUAGGAGAUAAUUUUCCAAGGUGUUUUGCUGCUCCUGAAGCCAAUCUGUAAUUUUACAGCAUUUUGAUUUUUAUAGGAAGUCUUCUAUUAAAACAGAAAAAUCGAAACUCCAGCCUGGAAGAAGCUCAGCUGUGUGUUCAGAAGAGGAAUACCUCAGACACAUGUAUGCCAGGCCUACAUUUCUUAAGCAGUUUAUGGAAUAAUCCCUAAAAUGUAUACAAAAGGAAGUUUAUAGCAUUUCAAACCGCGUCGUAUUUCACCCCAAUUUCACAGCUGUCCUCUUCCCACACCGUAAUGGCCUAAGUUUCCAAUCCUGCCAAAGGGUUUUGGUUUUGUUUUCAUAAAUUAAAACCAUGGAUUUCUUCAUAAUAGGCCACUUAGGAUCUGUAUAGAGAGAGUAUUUCCAGAAGAUCUGACAUCCCUUCAUUAAAAUAGGUUACAUCCCUGGUAGACUGAAUGCUAACUUGAGAAGUCUUAAACAGAUGCUGUACAAGAAAUAAAUUUUUCGAGGCGCAUGGUGCAAUAGCAGCGCUGCUGAAACCAAUUGAUCCCGUGACAUUACAGCGAGAAGAUGCUGCAGCUAAGAAAAACGUCAACUUCAUUUCAGCCCCAAACAAGUUAUAACAGCAGCAGUGUUGGCUCAGGGCAUUUUUAAGGAAUUAAUAACCAGCUAGGGUUAGUAGCCUGAGGCAAAGUCAAGGAUUAAGCGCUAUGAGGAUAAACACAUACAGCAGCUUCAAAUAAUAUAGCUGACUUCAGUUUAAUCAUUUUGUUUCACUUUCAAAAAAACUUAUGAUCUCCAGACAGAAAAUAUAAUUCGUAUCAGCAAAAGAAUAUACACAUACACACCCCCCCAGGCAAGAGCUGAAGAGAUAAAUGGAAACACUGUAAAAAGUAAACGUUUUCUUCUUAGCAACAGAAGGAGAAAGAUUCCAUUGGUUACAAUUAAAACAAACAACCAAGAACUCCACAAAAUAGGCAAAUAUUCCCAAGGGAUGAUACAACAAAGCAGGAGAGGGACUUUUGGAAGGACAUAGAGUGAUAGCACAAGGGGAAUGGCUUCAAAGUGACAGAGGGUAGGGUCAGAUUGGCUAUUAAGAAGAAAUUCCUUGUGACAGCGGCGAGGCCCUGGAACGGGUGGCCCAGAGAAUUUAUAAACACCACAUCUUUAGAAAUGUUCAAGACCAGGCUGGAUGGGGCUCUGAGCAAUCUGGUCUAGUGAAAGGUGUCCCUGCCCAUAGCAGAGUGUUAGAACUAGAUGAUCUUUAAAGGUUCCUUCCAACCCAAACCAUUCCAUGAUUGUAUGAAAAAAAUACCCAAACAAUGUUAAUGACUGUACAGAAGAGGAAAGGUAACUUAGGUGAUCCCAAAGUUCAACAUUUCCCCCCAAGAACAGUGGACCAACCUUCCACCAUAGCCUUCACCAGCCAGAAGUGCUCACAAAACUGAGCAAAUAUACCAAUGUGUUUAUGCUUUCUUUUUCUGUUCAGCUAGCAAAUAAAAAAUCAUCUCUGAUAUUUCUUUUGUUUGAAAGGACUGCACACUUCUCUUCACUAAAAUAAAUCAACCCAAUAAACUUCAGACUAGUCUGGAAAAUAUGUAGUCAGAACAGGAUUCAGAUUUUACUCAUAGGUAAAUCAAAAGCAUCUUGAAGGCACUGCCAUCAGCCUUAAGUUUAAAAGCUCCAAUAAAGAAGCUAAACAUCAAAACUGACACUUGAAUUUUUAAUCAAAGUAUUUCCUUGAAUCACUCAAAGUCAGGAUGGAAUAAUUGUAAGACGGUAUGCUUCAGCAUCUUUUUAUUUGAGAAGGUCUAACCAGUUGCUACCCUAACUCAGAGAGCCUGCAGUUGGAAUGUUUACAUCUAUCUUUGCAGAUCAAGGGGAGAAAGAAGCCUGUUCUACCUGGGUGACUUUUUAACACUUACGUCUAAACACAGUACAUGGCAAUUGCUCUCUUGUAGAAGGUAAUUUUUUUCUUUCUUUUUUUUUUUUUUAAUCAGGGAAAGGUCACUCUCUUACAUCAUUGAAGAUGUUUAAAGGACAUUGCAAAAUUCAGAUGUUACUUAAAAUUACUUUAAGACUCUUCUUUCAGUAUUAAAUACUGUAUAGAAAACUUCCAGUUGGUAACUACGAAGAUCCCAUGUUGAAUCUUUCAGACAACACUUUUCAUUUAUUACAGAGACAAAAAUCUCUGAGGCCAAUUAAAUAUUAACGUACAACGGAAAAGUUAAUCAUCUUUUAAUCUCUAAUUUAUGUUGAUAUGCUGAUAGAAAUACAUUUAUUAUUACUAUUUACUUUUAAAAAUGUAUAAAAAGGUAGGAAUUUUUAGACAGGUUUUUGAUACUCAAAAUGUUAUCUGACCUCAGUGAAGCAAGAGGAUGCUUUGUCAUGGACUGAAUUAAGACCUCACUGUAAGCUUUUGUUUGAUCAUUCUUUGUUCAGAAACAUGACAGCUAUACCCGUAGAGAUUUGUUUGAUUGGAGUUGUUUCUAGUCAAAACAUUUCUCAUGUGACCAGCACUUCCUGACUCACCCCAGAAAGCCUGUCACUGCCUAGAACAGCAUCAUCCACCUCCCUAAGCACGAGCUUUACAGCAAGGGACUCCAGAGCUUUAGUCCAAGUUCUUACAAUAUCCUCCUGUAGCUCCAGGGGAAUAACAUCCCUGAAGACUGAGACAGUAUUCAUGCGUGAAUAUGUCACAGGGAUGUAGGAAAGGUUAACAUUUUGAGAGCACAACACUUCCAUCUUGGUGAAAGAAAACAUGCAUGAGGGAUAGAAAGACAAAACUCAUAAGUUAUUGCAGACAGAAUGGAAAACUCAAAAAAAAUUACAUAAAACUUUCAGGGGCCUUACAGUCUAAUAUGGAAAGAUCAAACACUGGAGGAUUUUACUAGAAGUUCCUCUCACAAUUGCUGGUGAUGAAGAAUGAAUGAAUGCCAUUCCAAAUGCCAAGACAUGUUUUCAUUGCCUCUUACAGACAGCAUAUUUCUGAAUAUUGAGCUAUAUUCUUCCAAUGCUUUUCUACCUAUAAAUUCUACAUUUAGCACAGGGUUAUCCAUUUGGUGAAUUGCAAAAGCACAUAAUAAAAUGCAUUUUAUCAUCUAUAUGUGACAGCUUCACUUGCUGUUAAAGUAUCUUCCAAAUACUAUCAUGCUCUUGAAGAACUCUAAAAUAAACAUCAAAUCCCAACCACAAGUAAGAAGCUCCAUCCUCCUGAACAACUGAGUGUUGCUACAGCUUUACCCCAAUUUAAAAGCAUUCAGUUCAAGUCCAGCAUUUGCAGGGAAUUAUCCCAUAAAUUUUAAGCUUUAGGUGCAUCUUCUUUUCACCUCUGAGGAACAAGUGGUCAUCUAAUAUUUCACUUCUUAGACAAAACAGUUUCCAUGCCAUCAAUCCAUAAAGUUGAUAGUAUUAUGGAAAAAACCCCAUGCCAACAAACUUGUAAUAGAUUCAGCCUUCUACAUUAAGUUGUAUUGUUUUAUUUCUGCCUUUACUCCUAACUUGAAAAUACUAGUCAGUCUCCAUGUUUCAAAGAAGGAUUUUUCUGACAGCUCAUGCCAACAGUUCAGAUGGUUUAGCUGCCUAAAAGAAAAAAAGAAAAAAAGAAAAGGAAAAAAAAAAAA
This is a long non-coding RNA of Motacilla alba alba, 23326 nucleotides long. RefSeq lists it as uncharacterized. The record is from RefSeq and is a predicted model, not a curated record. The transcript is spliced from 2 exons. NCBI's taxonomy places the organism in Eukaryota, Metazoa, Chordata, Aves, Passeriformes, Motacillidae.